This 452-nucleotide small RNA is filed under the name Pongo abelii (Sumatran orangutan). RNAcentral's name for it is "processed transcript". The record is from RNAcentral. Lineage: Eukaryota; Metazoa; Chordata; Mammalia; Primates; Hominidae.
GGGCCGCGGGGGGCCGGGCGCUCCCCGCCGGAGAUGAGGAAACUGAGGCUCAGAGAGGUCACAUGGCUUGCUCGAGGCCCCCCAGCCAGUAAGUGGUGAAACCGGGAUUCGCACUGGCAGCUGACAUGCUGUACUGAACAUGGCCUUCUCAGAGCAGGAUUGUGACGGGGCAGACCAGGGGGACGGUGGUCCUGGCUGAGGGCACAGCUCCGGCAAAGGUGUGAACCCACGUCCCUGCCCCCAGGGCCACCUGCAGGACGCGGACACCUACCCCUCAGCAGACGCCGGAGAGAAAUGAGUAGCAACAAAGAGCAGCGGUCAGCAGUGUUCGUGAUCCUCUUUGCCCUCAUCACCAUCCUCAUCCUCUACAGCUCCAACAGUGCCAGUGAGGUCUUCCAUUACGGCUCCCUGCGGGGCCGUAGCCGCCGACCUGUCAACCUCAAGAAGUGGAG